This 849-nucleotide ribosomal RNA is filed under the name Halicephalobus sp. CFB127. RNAcentral describes it as "SSU rRNA". It matches the Rfam family "Eukaryotic small subunit ribosomal RNA", at positions 49 to 934 of the family's 1831-position model. Lineage: Eukaryota; Metazoa; Nematoda; Chromadorea; Rhabditida; Panagrolaimidae. The record is from RNAcentral.
CCACACGUCUAAGUACAUGUGAGUACACGAAACCGCGCAAGGCUCAUUACAACAGCUAAAAUGUAUACGGUGAGAUACCAUUAAAUGGAUAUUUGCGGUAAAUCUGGAGCUAAUACACGCAAAAAAGAGUGUAUAAAUUUGUUAUACAAUUGCAGUUAUUAGAUUAAAACCAAAGGGCUCUGCCCAUAUAAGUUAACUCUAGAUAAUGCGUUUCCCUACAGAUUUAUUUUUGAUGGAAAGCCGUAUUUGUAUUUGCCCUAUCAAAUAUAUAACCGUGUAUUGAACGGUUAUGGGGUUGCCGGGUAACGGAGAAAUAGGGUUUGUUUCCGGAGAGAAAGCCUUAAAAACGGGUUUCACAUCCAAGGAAGGCAGCCGGGGCGAAAAUUUCCCCCUCUCAGUGCGAGGGGGUAGUGACGUGAAAAGACAAGUUCCCUUUUUUAUAGGGUGGAACAUUGGAAAGGUUUAAUUUUAAAUCCCUUGAAGAUUUUCAAUGAGAGGGCAAGUUUGGGGCCCGCAGCCGCGGUAAUUCCCGCUCUCAUACUGCACUGAAAUGCUGUUGCGGUUAAAAAAUUUGUAGUUGCAAGUGUACGGAGUGAGAUGGUUUUACUUUAUUGUUAAUACUAUUUCUACCGUUAAGAGUUUAUAUGGUUAAUACCCAUAUAACUCAGUUACUUUGAGUAAAUCAGAGUGCUUAGAACAAGCGUAUUGCUUGAAUGGUUGUGCAUGGAAUAACAAUACAAUGCAUUGAUAUUUGUUUUGUUGGUUUUAAUGUCAAUGAAUGAUUAAAAGGAACAAACGGGGGCAAAAGUAUCAUAAGGCGAGAGGUNAAAUUCGUGGACCCUGNGCAAG